CCUACGGGUGGCUGCAGUGGGGAAUAUUGCGCAAUGGGCGAAAGCCUGACGCAGCGACGCCGCGUGAGGGAAGACGGUUUUCGGAUUGUAAACCUCUGUCCUCUGUGAAGAUGAUGACGGUAGCAGAGGAGGAAGCUCCGGCUAACUACGUGCCAGCAGCCGCGGUAAUACGUAGGGAGCGAGCGUUGUCCGGAUUUACUGGGUGUAAAGGGUGUGUAGGCGGCUUGGCAAGUCAGUAGUGAAAUCCAUGGGCUUAACCCAUGAACUGCUAUUGAAACUGUCGAGCUUGAGUGAAGUAGAGGUAGGCGGAAUUCCCGGUGUAGCGGUGAAAUGCGUAGAGAUCGGGAGGAACACCAGUGGCGAAGGCGGCCUACUGGGCUUUAACUGACGCUGAGGCACGAAAGCGUGGGUAGCAAACAGGAUUAGAUACCCCUGUAGUC
RNAcentral lists this ribosomal RNA (440 nucleotides) under uncultured bacterium. RNAcentral describes it as "partial 16S ribosomal RNA". It matches the Rfam family "Bacterial small subunit ribosomal RNA", at positions 338 to 795 of the family's 1533-position model. The record is from RNAcentral.